This is a non-coding RNA of Pimephales promelas (fathead minnow), 368 nucleotides long. The record is from RefSeq and is a predicted model, not a curated record. NCBI's taxonomy places the organism in Eukaryota, Metazoa, Chordata, Actinopteri, Cypriniformes, Leuciscidae.
AUCUAUAAAAUCUUUAGACAGCAAUUUAUCUUAAGGGAUUCAGCAGCACAUCUCUUUUCAGUGUAGGUUUGUGAGCUUCAUUGUCCCCCCGGCUGACUAAUUCAGUGCAUCUUCUUCUAGCAGAGUUGAUUGUUGUGAGGUUGCAGGUCGAGAGGAUGACAGCUCGAGUGUACUGCUCAUUGAGUGUCGUUUUAUUGUGUCUGUUUGCAUGUUUCAGCACAAACCACGCUGGAGUCAUAGCAAAGCCUCCAGUGAAGUCUGUGGCCGAACCAGCAAAGCCUGCAGUAUGUGCUGAAAACUCUCACAGAACUCACCCUGAUGCCCAAUGUCCUGGCCCUAAGGGGAGUCAACCAGAGCCUGUAGUGAAG